GAUGAACGCUGGCGGCGUGCCUAAUACAUGCAAGUCGAGCGAACAGACGAGGAGCUUGCUCCUCUGACGUUAGCGGCGGACGGGUGAGUAACACGUGGAUAACCUACCUAUAAGACUGGGAUAACUUCGGGAAACCGGAGCUAAUACCGGAUAACAUGUUGAGCCGCAUGGUUCAACAGUGAAAGACGGUCUUGCUGUCACUUAUAGAUGGAUCCGCGCCGCAUUAGCUAGUUGGUAAGGUAACGGCUUACCAAGGCAACGAUGCGUAGCCGACCUGAGAGGGUGAUCGGCCACACUGGAACUGAGACACGGUCCAGACUCCUACGGGAGGCAGCAGUAGGGAAUCUUCCGCAAUGGGCGAAAGCCUGACGGAGCAACGCCGCGUGAGUGAUGAAGGUCUUCGGAUCGUAAAACUCUGUUAUUAGGGAAGAACAAAUGUGUAAGUAACUAUGCACGUCUUGACGGUACCUAAUCAGAAAGCCACGGCUAACUACGUG
Molecule: ribosomal RNA, 497 nt
Filed under: uncultured bacterium
Lineage: Bacteria
Description: partial 16S ribosomal RNA
Rfam family: Bacterial small subunit ribosomal RNA
Source: RNAcentral